RNAcentral lists this ribosomal RNA (253 nucleotides) under uncultured bacterium. RNAcentral describes it as "partial 16S ribosomal RNA". It matches the Rfam family "Bacterial small subunit ribosomal RNA", at positions 524 to 776 of the family's 1533-position model. The record is from RNAcentral.
UACGUAGGGUGCAAGCGUUGUCCGGAAUUAUUGGGCGUAAAGAGCUCGUAGGCGGUCUGUCGCGUCGGCUGUGAAAACUUGGGGCUCAACCCCAAGCCUGCAGUCGAUACGGGCAGACUAGAGUGCGGUAGGGGAGACUGGAAUUCCUGGUGUAGCGGUGAAAUGCGCAGAUAUCAGGAGGAACACCGGUGGCGAAGGCGGGUCUCUGGGCAGUAACUGACGCUGAGGCGCGACAGCGUGGGGAGCAAACAGG